GUAAGGAAUAUUGGACAAUGGACGCAAGUCUGAUCCAGCCCUGCCGCGUGAAGGAUUAAGGUCCUCUGGAUUGUAAACUUCUUUUAUAAGGGACGAAAUAAGGCUUUUCUAAGUCGUCUGACGGUACCUUAUGAAUAAGCACCGGCUAACUCCGUGCCAGCAGCCGCGGUAAUACGGAGGGUGCAAGCGUUAUCCGGAUUCACUGUGUUUAAAGGGCGCGUAGGCGGGCAGGUAAGUCAGUGGUGAAAGCCUAGAGCUUAACUCUAGAACUGCCAUUGAUACUAUCUGUAUUGAAUAUUGUGGAGGUAAGCGGAAUAUGUCAUGUAGCGGUGAAAUUCUUAGAUAUGACAUAGAACACCUAUUGCGAAGGCAGCUUACUACGCAUAUAUUGACGCUGAGGCACGAAAGCGUGGGGAUCAAACAGGAUUAGAUACCCUUGUAGUCC
Molecule: ribosomal RNA, 445 nt
Filed under: uncultured bacterium
Lineage: Bacteria
Description: partial 16S ribosomal RNA
Rfam family: Bacterial small subunit ribosomal RNA
Source: RNAcentral